UCUCAGUGAUGUGGUUCCAGUAGAUCCUUCGGACCCUCCACUGUGGACUCAAUAGCGGGGAGCGGAUGAGGACCGCGGCUGAGAGA
This is a small nucleolar RNA of Heterocephalus glaber (naked mole-rat), 86 nucleotides long. The record is from Ensembl. NCBI's taxonomy places the organism in Eukaryota, Metazoa, Chordata, Mammalia, Rodentia, Bathyergidae.